Molecule: long non-coding RNA, 771 nt
Organism: Myotis brandtii (Brandt's bat)
Lineage: Eukaryota; Metazoa; Chordata; Mammalia; Chiroptera; Vespertilionidae
Exons: 2
Source: RefSeq, a predicted model, not a curated record
GAGAGGGUUGGCUUUGCAUCAUGUCACCAUGAACACACAUCAUCAGAGCUGAGACCAGAGGGAACAUGUGAAAGGGGGCCAUCAACGCGUUCAGCUCCUGCAGCUUCCCACUGUCCAGGUUAAAGGCUGCACAGAGCUUACGCAAACAACACUGCCACUUGUUGCAUUCUUUUUCUUUUGCAGAACCAUGUGAAUGUAUUGACUUCUUUUAUUGUUGACACUGUUACAGAUGUCCCCUUUCCCCCCACACCCUUGCCCACCUCCACACAGCCCCUGCGUUUCUUGGUGGCAUGCUGGUCGAAAAGAACGAAGCCGUUUGGGUAGUUAUGAUGGUGCCAUGUGUUCGUCAAAUAUGUUCCCCUUUCAGCCCAAGCUGCUGCAAGCCAAGCUGGAUUACUCAUGCCCAGUGCUGACUGGAGGGCGGAAUAGCUUUGCUGGCUGCUGAGAUGAUAUCAUGGCAAUUAGACAGGAAGUUAUCAUGUGAAAAGUAUGCGGUGUCUACAGCAAGAGCAGUGAGUUCCCAUCCUUUACUCCAUGGAAAACCUACGAAACUUCUUUCGGAAAACUCUGGCUUUGGGUCUGAAGGUAUCUAACCAACACGCCGGGAUACAGAAUCAGUGAUGAAAAUGGGAGUCAGGGCCCUGACAAGAACACUGGAAAUUUCCACCAGAGAUUUCACAACACAAUGAGAGAAACCAGAAAACAGACAUGCUGAAGUCCUGUGCCUUACGCACCAGAGUAAGCCCAUUAAGUAUUUCUUUGAUGAAUGAA